CUCUCCCCUCAAUUCCCUUCUCAUCUUCACCUCUCUCCACUCCUCCCAAAUAGGAAAAAUCCUAAUUCCGUAGUUGGCCACCGCUUUCCAAGACCCCCAUGCGAGAAUCUUUCUCUUUUCAUCAUCCAUCGAUCCAUGAGAUCGAAAAAUCAGAAAAAUCUAUUAAUGGCUUCCAAAAAGUUGAAUAUUUUUCAGAAAAUUGGGAUUCAAAUUUUGAAUUUCUCCUAGAUUUUCUUUAAACUGUUUUCAAAUUUGUACUUUGAAAUCCAGAUUUUCAGGCUAUAAAUAGCCGAACUUCGUCCCCAUGGAAGCAACAGCAAGAGAGGUGAAAAGAAGGCUAAAAGAGGGGUUUUUGAACACACCAAAAAUCCGUGAGAAAUAAAAGGAAAUUUGGGAGAGAAAAACAGAGGGAAAUAAAAAAAAUGAGCAAAAUUUUUGAGUCCUCGUGGUUGAUUUCAUCAUCGAAAAGUAUCUUGACGUGAAAGCCCUUAGUUUCUGCCCGAAAAAAGGUGUGAAUGUCCCCAUUCCAGCUCCACCUUCUCUUCAUCUCAUUUUAUUUUUUUAUUAUUUGUGACAUGUUGUUUCUGUCAUUAAAUUUUUUUGUGGUUGUCAUGCUUGUUUUUGUGAACAAGUAUUUUGCCUAUAUUUGAUAUUGUACCUAUGUGCAUACAAAAUCAUGGGUAUGAAAUAUAUGACAUGGCUUAGUUUUAAUUUUAGUUAUAAUAUUGUUGCCGUUGUUUUGGUGUUAUGGACGAAAGUGUGAUUACUUUUGGUGUUUCUUUAGUAUGUUGACAAUGUGGGUUUUUUUCGCUCAAAGUCAAGUGGAAUUGUUGUUUUGCACUCUUCAACUCUUUUUUGUUCACCUCGUUUGAUUUUUAAAGGUGCAAUUCGAUUUUGAUUUUAAUAUUUUGUUAAUACUAUUUUGUCAUCUUUGCGAAUAAGAAAAUAAAACACUGGAUUUGCUUUGCGAUUUUACAUUGUGUUUGAGUAUAGACGUGCGUGAAGCGCGGGGCAUGUACUAUUCCUACGUACAUGGAUAUUUGGGUCUUAGCAUAUGUGUAUAUGUUGUGUUUAUUGUAUAAAUUCAUAUUCUAGUUGUCGAAUUAAGUUGUGUCAUUUGGAUCGAAAUCUGUUUGGUCUUGGGUUAUGUUCUGAUGUUGGUAUUAUGGUUUUAAAUUUGUGCAAAAUUUAUAGUGCAGCACAGUUCGAAUCUUGCAUGACAUAAGUAUAAAGAAAUUUGGAGAAAUUGCAAGGGUUAUUGUAAUUUCUCCUUUCAAGAUUCGAUGCUACAUAUGUAAUGGUUGUGUAUAUUUGUGUGUUGAUAGGUUAGUAGCAGUGGAAAGAUUAUUAAGUCAAAUGAGAUGGAGGCUUUUAUAAUGAUCAAAUCACUAACUAGUUCAUCAAACAAUGUGAAUAUGUAGUAAGUCACUCUUGUUUCCACGGUGGUUUCGAGUUUUUUUUUUCACAAUCUUGUUGGUUAUUGCAGAUUCGGUAUGAAUUUUAUUUAAUGUCAAAUCGAAGAUUUUCCUAAAAAAAAAUGGAUGUAAAGAUAUUGCACUCACAUCUUUAAGUUUACAUUAUAAUUUUAAGGUUGAUCUUUCUUUAUCAUUAGGCAUAUGUGUGUGUAUAUCAUGUUAUGCUUCCAAAGUAAUUGCGCUGGGUUUAUUAUUAACAUUCUUUAAAGGAAAAAAGAAGUUUAUUGAAGAUUCUACUAGGUUCAAAGCAUCUCAUUAUUUUUGGAUAUUUUACAAUGGUAUGUUAGUCAUAUUUUCCAUGAUAAUUGGUUUAUUUUAUAUGCACCAUACGCCCUGCCAUUACUAGUGUCCCCUCUUUAGAAUUUGUUAAAGUUUGGUUAUAGGUAGAAAUGUUUUAUCAUACUUUGAUAUUUAGAUGCUUCUUUUGGGUGUUUUGUCAGAUCCUUAUUUUUUCUUAGUUAAAAUGUAUAAAUUGUUUAGAGCAUCAGCUUCAUAUUUGGCACAUAUCUCUUUUUAUUAGUUACUAAUCCUUAUUUUUAUUUUUUGCAUGAAAUUCGAGAGUUGGAGUUUCACAACGGAACUCAGUUUUGACCUAAGCAUUAGGUCAAUCAUCACUAGGAUUGCAGAGCCUCGAAGUACCGCAAAUUAGGAGCCUAAGCUCCUAAACCAAAUUUAUUAUUCUUUAU
This 2161-nucleotide long non-coding RNA is filed under the name Capsicum annuum. RNAcentral's name for it is "long non-coding RNA (CANN_LNC014479)". The record is from RNAcentral. Lineage: Eukaryota; Viridiplantae; Streptophyta; Magnoliopsida; Solanales; Solanaceae.